Molecule: long non-coding RNA, 7328 nt
Filed under: Homo sapiens (human)
Lineage: Eukaryota; Metazoa; Chordata; Mammalia; Primates; Hominidae
Description: HSALNT0404124
Source: RNAcentral
AGAUUUUGGCAGGGAGAAGCAGAGGGCUAAGGAGCUCUAGAAAGAUGAGUUUCCAAGUAUAAGCAAACUGAGGAAGCUGGAAAUGAGGAAAAUGGGGUGGUCAGCAUGGCUGAAGCUUGGGAAAUGCGGAGCGGAGUGGUGGCAAGUAAGCCACUGACAAAUUGCCGAGUUUCUUCAGAAGUAACGAGUGGGGCUUUUCUCUGUAGUAGCUGGGAACCAAAGAAAAUGUGUGCGUGGAGGCAGAGGCAGUCAGGGAUCUGAUCGGAAAGUUCAGUGUGCUGUCAGGGACGCCCAACACGAUGCCCUCCGUGUCUUCAUCUCUCCCUCUCCACCUCCUCAGUCCCUUUCCCUGGACUUCAUGGGAGCCUGUUGAGCUCAAAAGAUCCCCAAGAGCCAAGAUGCAAGCCUGCAGAUUUCAGGACAGCUGGUCCUGGCGCUGCUGGCUGCUCGCAAGGGCCGGGCCUCCUCAUUGCCGUCACCAGCCCCCGUUGGGCCUCAUCAGAGCAAGACCAGGCUCGGCUGAUGCUCGGCGCUGUAUUCCUUGACGCCUCCAUGAGGCUUGCUGCCCAGCAUGUCCCAGGCUUGCUGGAAAUGCUGAAGCUCAGGCUCACCUCAGACCCACGACUCAGAGUCUGUAUCUUUUCCAGAUCCUGGAGUGAUCGCAUGUGCACGUAUAAAUCGGAGAAGCUUUGGCUUCCAUAGCCUCUGCUGGCUGUAACUAAUCCUUCCUCACCCCAUACUGAGGGAAAAGAAAGAAGGGAAGGGAGGGAAAGGAAGGGAAGAGAAAGGAGAAGGAAGGACAGGGGGAGAGAGAGAGAGAGAAAGGGAAGGAAGGAAGGCAGGAAAGGAAAGAAGGAAGGAAGGAAGGGAGGAAGGGAGGGAAGGAGAAAGAGAAAGGAAGGAAGAACAGGAGGUUAGGAGAGAGGAAUGAAAGAAAGAGAAUGGGAGAGGGACAGAGGGAGGGAGAGAGAAUGAUUCUGUGAGUCUCUUAACUCUGGUCCUCCUGUUACACAUCUUUUCUUCUACUUUUCCUUUGUUUCACACUUAAGCUUUGAAGAUGUAAAGUAGGACCAGAGGGUGAGAAAUUCAAGAACCUUGAAAUAAAAGACCUUUCUGUUUGCUUUUCAUUUCCUAAAAAGGAAGUCCUCACUGACUGUUCCUGUAAGGGAUAUUAAGCUGUGUGGAUUGUGAGUGAUUCGUCACACAGCAAUUUGGAGCAGGAAGCACACGAAACCCUAGAGCUAGCCUGCACGCAACUAAUUGAAGCCCUCAAUUAAUCGGAUUGGCUUCCACCUUCAGGAGAAAAGCAAAUACUAAGAAAACAAAUUAGCACCUGGAAUUUAACAACUUCCCUUUUUUGGUGUGGGGGCGCAUUAUAUUCAGAGUACAUGAUAACUGAUGGCUCGUCUCAUAGGCACAGACAUCUUUACAAUCCUCUAAGGCAGAGUGGUGUGGUGGAAACGGAGUUGGCAGAGGCAUCAGAUCUGCCCGGGUUUCCAUCCCAGCUCCAGCAUGCAUGGGCCAUGUCGCUUGGCAAGCAGUCUCACCACUCAGAGCCUUGAUUUCAGGAUUAAAAAAAUAAUAACCUAUUCAACAGAAUCAUGGUCGAGAAGAUUAGGGGUUUGUGCAACUCCUCACCUGGUGGAUACUCAACCGGAAUGAGUUCUCUUUCUCAGUUCCUGCCUACAGAUCUAUAGACACUUAGCUUUAAAAGCUUUGAUUAUGGCCAGUUGCCUGGUCAACCUAAUACCAGCAGAGGAGUGUAUUUUCCCUACUAUGGUGGAACAGAGGUAAAGGUUUUCCAAGUUUGAAGCAAUCAUACAAACAAAAUAGGAGCCCAAAGACUUCUGCGGAGCUUUGGAAUGAGAGAUGCCCAUUCUGGUUUCAGAAACGCCAGCGCCAUCUCUUGGAGGAGCAUGAAAUUGUUUCCUUGGGCUGAAGAAGCAUCCAUGGGGCCCCAGGUAGGUUCAGCUGGUCCUCUCCUUCUUUCAACUGUAGUUUCAGACUGGAACCCCAGGGCUUCUUCCAAGGGAAACAUUCUUACUUAUUUCCUUAUAAAGGUCCUGCAUACCUUUGUUUGUCUCUCUUCCAAUCAAACCAUUCUUUCUCUCUAAUUUCAUCGGGUCCAGUAUUUCCAAAUUUCAGUCCCAGUUUGUAAAUCUACAACUCAAGCCAAACCUUCAAAGACUGAAUUUUCUAAGUGGUUAGUUAUCCUUCUAACACAGAGGGUCUUCCUUCUAACACCCCAGCAGAGGCCGGGUAGCCUAGCACUCAAGAUCCUGGACUCUGAAGCUAGACCACUGUGUUUAGCAUCCCCUCAGCCUUCCAACUGUGUGACCUUGGAAAGUUACUUGACCUCUCUGUGCCUCAGUUUCCCCACCCACAAAAUGAGGCUGACAGCAGACACCACCUAGAAUGGUUGUUGCAGCAUUACAGGAGUUCACACCUGCAGCACUCGGUGCAGGCCUGUGACAGAUCAUGAGCAAGUGUUUGCCAUCAUCUUGGUUUUCAGUGGCUGUUCCCUUACACACCACUUACGACGCUGGGCUAGGAUUUCACUUGACUUGUCCAGGUUACCCACCAGGCGGUGUUUCUGUAGCAUGGGCAGUAAAGGCAGCAUAAAUCUAGGCCACACUCACAAAUGCACAUUGUUAGCACACAAACCCCGUGAUUCAGAUGCAGGUGGUCUGGGGGCCUGAUUUUUAGAGCUGCUGCACUCAGUUUUGUGCUCCUAGGGGGCAGGGACUAGCUCCAUCCAUCUCAGACCCCAGCCUGCAUGCAGCAAGCACCCGCCCCCUUGAAAGUGCUCAGCUCAAGUUGCUUUCCUUCUCCAUCUUCUUUAAUAAAUGAUCUUGGAGUGAACAAAUGGGAGGCUGACAGUAUUACACUAAAAUAACAGGAGUUUCUGGUCACCUGAGAAGCACAAUGGUCUCUCAUCUUCUCCUUACUCCAUUAGGAGUUCAUAUGCCUGCAUUUUCCUCAUUAAAUCUGAGGUGCUUUUCUGAACUCUAUCUGAGAAGGAGCUGAAGUAAUCAAUGAGUGUCUCACACACAAACACAUGGAAACAGGUUCUUAGUGAGAGCGGUGGGGACUCUGACUCCAAAUUUAAUGAUUUUUCACUAAAAAGGAAUGACGCUUCCCUUCACUAGAAAGCAAUGAUGUCUUCGGUGGUUGCAUCAAUGACCAAACAUGUAUAAUAAACUGCUUCUUUGAACUUGAGGACAUCUGAUUAAGAGAUAGAAAGCAAAACAAGCCUUCACAGAUGGUAAUAGUGCUGGGACACAUCACCUUUUGUGAAUAACUGAAGAGCAUAUAUUAAUAACAGAAAUCACAUUGGUGUGCCCUUACUGAGGAUCGACAAAGGAGAACACGUCUAUGUUUUGUGGAAACACGACUGAAGCCUUCAUCCAAUGACGUUGGCCGGCCCCGCUCUCCUCGUGCCAUCAAGCACUCUACGCUGACUCAGUAGAGCAGCACAGCCCUGUGUGUGGAGAGAUUCCCAUGCACCAUGGGAAGAGGGACCAAGCCUGGGCCCUGGAGGGCGCAGCCGGUGCAGUCUGCAGGAGGCUCUGUGUUUCAAUAACUGUGGUGUCCCCACACCCCAAGGGCCAUCUGUAGAUCUGCUGCUCCAAAGUCUCUCACAGUGGCUCUUCUUUGGAGGUCACUCUCCAGUUAAGUGGGGGACCAACUGCAAACUUCUCCCAUCAAUAUGAACUGCAAUAUGAUAUUGCAGCAAACAAAACACACACACACACACACACUCUCCCAGAAGCAUUUAACAGGAGAAGUGUGUACCUACACAUUUAGUCCCAAGAUCUCUUUCCAGGCCCUGUCCAGGUUCGUGGUGGAAGCCUGUCCUCUGCACACUGGCUUCCCCAAAUCUUCCCAUAUUCCAGAGCAGGGGAAUCCUUUCUCCAUCUUUUGGCUCAGAUCUACUGCGGAGUGUGGGAGAAAUAUUAAAAGUAAUGAUCCUUGAUGGUUAAAGCUGCCUUAUCAAGUUCCUGCCCCUGGGUUUAAAUAAAGUCUCUUUUUCUGCCAGCUUUAGAUAAGGAUGGAGGGUGAGAGAAACAGACAGAGACAGAAAGAGAGAGAGAAGAAGGGAGAGAGGCAGAGAAGCAAGGACUCUAUAGGGAAAGAAAGAGCUUGGACAUUAAUUCAUUUUAUGAAUAUUUGUUCUACUCUUCUUAAGAACAAGGUUUGUCCCAGGUGCCUUGGGGGCAAGAGAGAAUUUAAGGGGUGGCAAGGGGCCACUGUCCCGCAUCUUGGGGACGUUGUAGGCAGGCAGGUAGAGAUGUGCUAAGGUUCCCGGGUCCUGGAGAUGCCAGGCAAGUUGGAAAAUGCAGAAGAGGAGGCUGGGGUGGACAGGGGUCAUUUUGGCUGAAGCUGGUUAUGAGAGGCUUAGAAGGUGAAAGUGUCUGCUGUGCUGGGCCCUGAAAUGUAGGUCUUCUUGGCCACAGUGGGAAAGGGGAGCCCUAGAGGUCCUUGAACAGUCUGAGUGACAACACCUGGGCUGCCCAGCCCCAAAGGCCAAAACCAAGACACGUCUUUGUCCCAGAGGUUGGGCUUGGUGGCUGCAGCUGUGGAUGCUGACCCUUUCAUGGGCAUGGGGACAGGUGAAAAGCAGGAGCGAGGCAGGCAGGAGUGGGUGCCAGCACCAGCCCACAGCCAUGAGGCCUGUGCCAGGCCAGCCUGUGGGGACACUGGGUCCCCGAGAGAGACAUGGAAGCUCCCGCCAGCAGGAGACUUGAAGGUGGUCAGUUCUGAAGUCCUCUCCUCCUUAGGCCUGGACCUGGGGACACAGGCUCCAGCCAGCAGCAGGAGCCCAUGAAACUCAUUUGUCCCAAUCUUCUUCCCAAGUCUCAACAGCUUUCGGGGGGUUCUGUGACAGAUGCCCCACUUCCAGCUCCACAGCCAGCCCUACGCUAACUCUGACAGAUGAAAGGCCUCAGAAUCCCCUUCUUCAAUUGUACUGCACCCAACUUGUGGAAAGCAAAACAAUAUUAAAAAUACUUUUUAAGAAACUCUAGAAUAUAUUGUCAUCAAAGUGAUCACGGUUCUGCUUAUUUUUGGUCAUCGCAACCAAUGUACUGAGCCCCCUUUGCCCAGACCCUAGCAGGUCCUGAGUCUCAGCGUCCACAAAACGAGGCUAUGGCCCUUGGGGAGUUCCGUGCGGUGCCACAAUUGGCCUCUGAGUUACUCUAGAGUGAUAAACGCAGCCUUGGCAGUAAAAUACCAGAGAGGUAAUGAGUGCGGACUCCGUGCUCCCUCCGCAGGGGCAGGUGCGUGAGGCUCUAGCGCCACCUCGUGGGCCGUGGGAUUCGUGCCCAUCUCCUCCUGGGCGGGAGUUCCUCUGGAGCCAGGAACUCUUUGGGCUCAGGGUGUCUUUUUAGAAAAGCUUCUGACGUUGGUUCUUCUUUAGUGGACCUUCUCCGGUAAAACGGGGUUAACAACUCCAAACUUUUCCCCACCUAAAGGGAUUGAAAGGCUGUUUCAAAGGAAUUAGAGCUCUGAGACUGCAACCCACAAAACACACAAUAGCAUAUACACAGAGAUGCACAUAGAAACAUAGACACACAGGGACACACACCAGAGAUACACACACACACACACACGGACAGGCAGACACAGGGCCACAAACACAUACACAGAGAUACACACAGAAACAUAUACACACAGGGACACACACCAGAGAUACAUACACAGACACACACGGACAGGCAGACACAGGGCCACAAACACAUACACAGAGAUGCACAUAGAAACAUUUACACACAGGGACUCACACCAGAGAUACACACACACACGGACAGGCAGACACAUGGUCACACACACACACACAUACAUACAGUGAUAUUCAACAAGGGAAGGGUGCACCCACAGGCUCAGUCUUGAGACCUCUCUCCAGGCUCCUGGGUGGGUUGGGGAAGCUGAGCCUCCCUGCCUGCUCAUAGCACACAGCCUCCACAAAUCUUGCUCUAUUCCAGAGUGAGAAAGGAACGUUAAAACUGAUGAUCCCUGAUGGCCAAGGCUGCCUUAUCAAGAUCCUGUUCCCGAUUCAAUAAGAAAAGAUGCCUCUUGUGCCAGCAGCAGAUAAGGCUGCAGCCCUGGGCGUUCCCAGGAGAGCGAACAAUGGAAGCCCCCAGGAUGCCUCUAUAUGAGGUAGGAUGGUUACUUGCCCAGUCCCUGCCUGCCAGGCCCUUAUCUGGGAGGCGCUGGUUCGGGUUGCACCCUCCUGUGUUCCUAGCGGGGGCUGCUGCACACCAGGCUUCUGAGGCCUUCCUGGUGGGGGUUGGUGGAAUGGCGGCGGGGGGAGGGUUUUGACGGUGCAUCCUGAAGUGCUCCCUGCACCUUUCCCAGAAAAAGAAAAGGAUGCCAUGAAAACACUUCACCCUAGACAUGGUUUACCCUCGGGAAAGCUGAUGUGAAAGAAGUUCCAGGGGGCCAGGGAUAGAAAAGGAUUUAGAAAGAUGAAGGCAACAGACAAACGACACUUACAAAGUGCCCAAAGUCUGCAAGUCCUGAUAGUCACAGGGAAGGACAUCAGCUGGCGGGAAACCUCACCUUUUAGGCCUGCAUGUCAGUCUUGCACUGCUGAGCUGUGUGACCCUAGGCAGGCUACUUAAACCCUCUGUGCCCUGGCAUCUCCAUCUACAGAAUAAAGCUUCUAACAGCAUAGGCCUCACACACCUGUGUGGAGACCCCAUAAGUCGACAACAUGUGUUUACCCGAGGAAAUAAAUAUGGGUGCCCCUUUAGGCCUGUCCCACAGAGUUAUACAGCUGAAAGACCUCAGAGUAGGUCCACACCCCUUACCAAGUAAUGCAGGCCUUGAUUAAUUGCCACUUGAAGGGAGGUGGGGAGAAAGCACCCUGUCACAUCACAGCUAAAUUUACUAAAAAAGAAACUCUUUGCCCACUUAUCUUUCGAAAGUGCCUCACAGCAGAGACAGCCCCAACCCCUUCCUCUCUCUCCAGCCUCACCUCUCCUCCUAAAAUUCAGUUCCUCCUCACACUCUCAGUGCCUGGCCCCGGCCAUGCAUUAGAUGCCCUGAAGAGCUUUUGAAAAGGACCAAUCCCUGGGCCCUAUCUCAGGUGUGUCUGAGCAUCUGUAGAUUUUAGAAGCUCUGAGGAGGAUUUACAUGCAUUUAGGGUGGAAAUCACUUGUAAGUAAAUUUUUUUAACUGUUCCCUGUUAAAAAAUAUGAACCAAUGGACCAAUGGACCACUUAUGGCUUCUGCUAAUUCUCUUACAUAUGCCCAUGGUACCUUGUUGCAGUAUCAUUUGUAUAAUAAAAAGAUUGGAGCCAACCAGAAAGUCCAUCAAUGGGGGG